GCAAGGCUAAAUACUCCUGAGAGACCGAUAGUGAACCAGUACCGUGAGGGAAAGGUGAAAAGCACUUCGAACAGAAGAGUGAAAUAGUCCCUGAACCCAUACGCCUACAAGCAGUCGGAGCCGCUUCGUGCGGUGACGGCGUGCCUUUUGCAUAAUGAGCCUACGAGUUACUCAUCACCAGCGAGGUUAAGUACUUCAGGUACGUAAGCCGAAGCGAAAGCGAGUCUGAAUAGGGCGUCAAGUUGGUGGUGGUAGACGCGAAACCUUAGUGAUCUACCCAUGGGCAGGGUGAAGGUUUGGUAACACAAACUGGAGGCCCGAACCGGUAAACGUUGAAAAGUUUUCGGAUGACCUGUGGGUAGGGGUGAAAGGCCAAUCAAACUGGGAAAUAGCUCGUACUCUCCGAAAUGCAUUUAGGUGCAGCCUCUGUUGUUUUGUUCUAGAGGUAGAGCUACUGAUUGGAUGCGAGGGCUUCACCGCCUAUCAAAUCCGGCCAAACUCCGAAUGCUAGAACAUAAAGACAGGGAGUGAGCCAGCGGGUGCUAAGGUCCGUUGACGAAAGAGGGAGAACUCAGACCAUCAGCUAAGGUCCCCAAUUAUAUGCUAAGUUGGAAUAAAAACGGGGUGGGACUGCUUAGACAGCUAGGAUGUUGGCUUGGAAGCAGCCAUUCAUUUAAAGAGUGCGUAACAGCUCACUAGUCGAGCGGUCCUGCAUGGAUAAUACGCGGGCAUAAGCAUAUAACCGAAGCUAUGGGAUUGUAGAUGAUACAAUCGGUAGGAGAGCAUUCCAUUCAGCAUAGAAGCAGUAUCGUGAGGUAUUGUGGAGCGGAUGGAAAAGCAAAUGUAGGCAUAAGUAACGAUAAUGCGGGUGAGAACCCCGCACGCCGAAAGAUCAAGGAUUCCCCGGCAAUGUCAAUCAUCCGGGGGUAAGUCGGAUCCUAAGGGUAAGCCGAGUGGCGAUCCCGAUGGUAAACAGGUUAAUAUUCCUGUACUGAUCAUAACUGCGAUGCAGCGACGCAGAGGUGACACUGCUGCGUACUGACGGAAUAGUACGUUGAAACCCGUAUUCUUUGAUACCGGUAGUGAAGCACGCCGGUAGAGAUGAAAGGUGAUAGUACCGCAAUGCUUCGGUUGCGCGGAUAAUGCAGGUAAGCUGACUGCCAAGAAAACCUGCUAAGCUUCAGGUAAUGAUCAUCCGUACUGUAAACGGACACACGUGAUCAGGUAGAAAAUACUAAGGCGCUCGAGAGAUUCAUGGUUAAGGAACUAGGCAAAAUGGUCCUGUAACUUCGGGAUAAAGGACGCUCUUGUGAAAGAGCCGCAGAUAAUAGGCCCAGGCGACUGUUUACCAAAAACACAUGGCUAUGCUAAUUCGCAAGAAGAUGUAUAUGGCCUGACACCUGCCCGGUGCCGGAAGGUUAAGAGGAGAGCUCAGAGGUAACUCGAAGGUUUGAAUUGAAGCCCCGGUAAACGGCGGCCGUAACUAUAACGGUCCUAAGGUAGCGAAAUUCCUUGUCGGGUAAGUUCCGACCUGCACGAAUGGUGUAACGAUCUGGGUACUGUCUCAACCAUGAGCUCGGUGAAAUUGUAGUUCCGGUGAAGAUGCCGGAUACCCGCAACGGGACGGAAAGACCCCGUGAACCUUUACUGCAGCUUUGCAUUGAUUUUGGGUAACAGAUGUGUAGGAUAGGUCGGAGGCUUUGAUGCUGCGUCGUCAGGCGUAGAGUAGCCGUCGUUGAAAUACGACCCUUUUGUUAUCUGAGGUCUAAUCCCGUUAGGGAGACAUUGCAUGGUGGGUAGUUUGACUGGGGUGGUCGCCUCCAAAAGUGUAACGGAGGCUUCUCAAGGUACCCUCAAGGCGUUUGGUAAUCGUCUGCAGAGUGCAAUGGCAUAAGGGUGCUUGACUGUGAGACCGACACGUCGAUCAGGUUGGAAACAAGAGCAUAGUGAUCCGGUGGUUCCGCAUGGAAGGGCCAUCGCUCAAAGGAUAAAAGGU
RNAcentral lists this ribosomal RNA (1996 nucleotides) under metagenome. RNAcentral's name for it is "bacterial LSU rRNA". It matches the Rfam family "Bacterial large subunit ribosomal RNA", at positions 460 to 2464 of the family's 2925-position model. The record is from RNAcentral.